UUGAAGAAUUUAUUACAAAGACGACACAACUGUGUGUGUGUGUGUGUGUGUGUGUGUGUGUGUGUGUGUGUGUGUGUGUGUGUGUAUGUUUGUUGACACACCUCUUCCUAACACAUCAUCAUUGUCACUCAAAUAAUAAUAAUAAUAAUAAUAAUAAUAAUAAUAAUAAUAAUAAUAAUAAUAAUAAUAAUAAUAAUAAUAAUAAUAAUAAUAAUAAUAGUAAUUUCUCAAGCACUUUCUGAGCAUAUGUGAGAGAGAGAGAGAGAGAGAGAGAGAGAGAGAGAGAGAGAGAGAGAGAGAGAGAGAGAGAGAGAGAGAGA
Molecule: long non-coding RNA, 320 nt
Organism: Eriocheir sinensis (Chinese mitten crab)
Lineage: Eukaryota; Metazoa; Arthropoda; Malacostraca; Decapoda; Varunidae
Exons: 2
Source: RefSeq, a predicted model, not a curated record